This 553-nucleotide ribosomal RNA is filed under the name uncultured Nitrososphaerota archaeon. RNAcentral describes it as "bacterial SSU rRNA". It matches the Rfam family "Archaeal small subunit ribosomal RNA", at positions 325 to 879 of the family's 1478-position model. The record is from RNAcentral. Lineage: Archaea; Thermoproteati; Nitrososphaerota.
ACGGGGUGCAGCAGGCGCGAAAACUUUGCAAUGUGCGAAAGCACGACAAGGUUAAUCCGAGUGAUUUCUGCUAAAGAAAUCUUUUGCUAGUCCUAGAAACACUAGUGAAUAAGGGGUGGGCAAGUUCUGGUGUCAGCCGCCGCGGUAAAACCAGCACCUCAAGUGGUCAGGAUGAUUAUUGGGCCUAAAGCAUCCGUAGCUCGUUUCGUAAGUUUUCGGUUAAAUCCAUACGCUUAACGUAUGGGCUGCCGGGAAUACUGCAUAACUAGGAAGUGGGAGAGGUAGACGGUACUCGGUAGGAAGGGGUAAAAUCCUUUGAUCUAUUGAUGACCACCUGUGGCGAAGGCGGUCUACCAGAACACGUUCGACGGUGAGGGAUGAAAGCUGGGGGAGCAAACCGGAUUAGAUACCCGGGUAGUCCCAGCUGUAAACUAUGCAAACUCAGUGAUGCAUUGGCUUGUGGCCAAUGCAGUGCUGCAGGGAAGCCGUUAAGUUUGCCGCCUGGGAAGUACGUACGCAAGUAUGAAACUUAAAGGAAUUGGCGGGGGAGCAC